AGAGUUUUGAUCCUGGCUCAGGACGAACGCUGGCGGCGUGCUUAACACAUGCAAGUCGAGCGACGCACCCUUUCGGGGGUGACGGAGCGGCGAACGGGUGAGUAACACGUGGGCAACCUGCCCUCAGCUCUGGGACAACUCCGGGAAACCGGGGCUAAUACCGGAUACGACAUCGGGUCGCAUGGCCUGGUGUGGAAAGUUUUUUCGGCUGAGGAUGGGCCCGCGGCCUAUCAGCUUGUUGGUAGGGUGAUGGCCUACCAAGGCGACGACGGGUAGCCGGCCUGAGAGGGCGACCGGCCACACUGGGACUGAGACACGGCCCAGACUCCUACGGGAGGCAGCAGUGGGGAAUAUUGCGCAAUGGGCGAAAGCCUGACGCAGCGACGCUGCGUGGGGGAUGAAGGCCUUCGGGUUGUAAACCUCUUUCAGCAGGGACGAAUUCAGACGGUACCUGCAGAAGAAGCACCGGCCAACUACGUG
RNAcentral lists this ribosomal RNA (480 nucleotides) under uncultured Actinomycetales bacterium. Its description in RNAcentral is "bacterial SSU rRNA". It matches the Rfam family "Bacterial small subunit ribosomal RNA", at positions 8 to 507 of the family's 1533-position model. The record is from RNAcentral. Lineage: Bacteria; Bacillati; Actinomycetota; Actinomycetes; Actinomycetales.